GAUGAACGCUGGCGGCGUGCCUAAUACAUGCAAGUCGAGCGAACAGACGAGGAGCUUGCUCCUCUGACGUUAGCGGCGGACGGGUGAGUAACACGUGGAUAACCUACCUAUAAGACUGGGAUAACUUCGGGAAACCGGAGCUAAUACCGGAUAAUAUAUUGAACUGCAUGGUUCAAUAGUGAAAGACGGUUUUGCUGUCACUUAUAGAUUGAUCCGCGCCGCAUUAGCUAGUUGGUAAGGUAACGGCUUACCAAGGCAACGAUGCGUAGCCGACCUGAGAGGGUGAUCGGCCACACUGGAACUGAGACACGGUCCAGACUCCUACGGGAGGCAGCAGUAGGGAAUCUUACGCAAUGGGCGAAAGCCUGACGGAGCAACGCCGCGUGAGUGAUGAAGGUCUUCGGAUCGUAAAACUCUGUUAUUAGGGAAGAACAAAUGUGUAAGUAACUAUGCACGUCUUGACGGUACCUAAUCAGAAAGCCACGGCUAACUACGUG
This 497-nucleotide ribosomal RNA is filed under the name uncultured bacterium. Its description in RNAcentral is "partial 16S ribosomal RNA". It matches the Rfam family "Bacterial small subunit ribosomal RNA", at positions 28 to 507 of the family's 1533-position model. The record is from RNAcentral.